This 700-nucleotide ribosomal RNA is filed under the name uncultured bacterium. RNAcentral describes it as "bacterial SSU rRNA". It matches the Rfam family "Bacterial small subunit ribosomal RNA", at positions 254 to 969 of the family's 1533-position model. The record is from RNAcentral.
GGGGUAAUGGCCUACCAAGGCGAUGAUCGGUAGCUGGUCUGAGAGGACGAUCAGCCACACUGGCACUGACACACGGGCCAGACUCCUACGGGAGGCAGCAGUGAGGAAUAUUGGUCAAUGGGCGAAAGCCUGAACCAGCAACGCCGCGUGAGGGAUGAAGGCCUUCGGGUCGUAAACCUCUUUUCUGGGAGAAGAGACAAGGACGGUAUCCCAGGAAUAAGUCUCGGCUAACUACGUGCCAGCAGCCGCGGUAAAACGUAGGAGGCAAGCGUUAUCCGGAUUUACUGGGCGUAAAGCGCACGCAGGCGGCUGCGUAAGUCGGACGUGAAAGCUCCUGGCUCAACUGGGAGAGGUCGUUCGAAACUGCGCGGCUUGAGGUUGGAAGAGGAGAGCGGAAUUCCCGGUGUAGUGGUGGAAUGCGUAGAUAUCGGGAGGAACACCAGUGGCGAAAGCGGCUCUCUGGUCCACACCUGACGCUCAGGUGCGAAAGCGUGGGUAGCGAACGGGAUUAGAUACCCCGGUAGUCCACGCUGUAAACGAUGCGAACUAGGUGUUGGUAGUAUUAAACCUAUCAGUGCCGAAGCUAACGCGAUAAGUUCGCCGCCUGGGGACUACGGCCGCAGGCUAAAACUCAAAGGAAUUGACGGGGGCCCGCACAAGCAGCGGAACGUGGUGGUUUAAUUCGAUGCACACGAAGAAC